Molecule: RNase P RNA, 331 nt
Filed under: Clostridiales bacterium
Lineage: Bacteria; Bacillati; Bacillota; Clostridia; Eubacteriales
Description: RNase P RNA component class A
Rfam family: Bacterial RNase P class A
About the family: Ribonuclease P (RNase P) is a ubiquitous endoribonuclease, found in archaea, bacteria and eukarya as well as chloroplasts and mitochondria. Its best characterised activity is the generation of mature 5'-ends of tRNAs by cleaving the 5'-leader elements of precursor-tRNAs.
Source: RNAcentral
UGAGGCAGCCAAAUGGCCGCGUGCCGCAAGGCAUGAGGAAAGUCCGAGCACCGCAGGGCAGGGUGCCAGCUAACGGCUGGUGGAGGCGACUCCAAGGCGAGUGCAACAGAGAGAUACCGCCGGGUUUCCCGGCAAGGGUGGAAAGGUGCGGUAAGAGCGCACCGGCGGCUUGGCAACUUGUUCGUCAUGUAAACCCCACCCGGUGCAAGAUAGAAGGGGGCGCAUGGGGCGGCCCGCUCCGCUCCCGUUAUCGCAUCAGCAGCCUGGCGACAGGUUGCGUAGAUAGAUGGCCAUUCACGACAGAACUCGGCUUACAGGCUGCGCUCAUUUA